Molecule: transfer RNA, 60 nt
Filed under: Urocitellus parryii (Arctic ground squirrel)
Lineage: Eukaryota; Metazoa; Chordata; Mammalia; Rodentia; Sciuridae
Also listed under: 1 other name
Description: Spermophilus parryii (Arctic ground squirrel) tRNA
Rfam family: tRNA
About the family: Transfer RNA (tRNA) molecules are approximately 80 nucleotides in length.
Source: Rfam by way of RNAcentral
UGUGGCUCAGUGGUAGAGCACUUGCUAGCAUGCAUGAGGCACUAGGUUCAAUCCCUAGCA